RNAcentral lists this ribosomal RNA (253 nucleotides) under uncultured bacterium. RNAcentral describes it as "partial 16S ribosomal RNA". It matches the Rfam family "Bacterial small subunit ribosomal RNA", at positions 524 to 776 of the family's 1533-position model. The record is from RNAcentral.
UACGGAGGGUGCAAGCGUUAAUCGGAAUUACUGGGCGUAAAGCGCACGCAGGUGGUGAAUUAAGUCAGAUGUGAAAGCGCCGAGCUUAACUUGGGAAUUGCAUCUGAAACUGGUUAGCUAGAGUAUUGUAGAGGGGGGUGGAAUUCCAUGUGUAGCGGUGAAAUGCGUAGAGAUGUGGAGGAAUACCGGUGGCGAAGGCGGCCUCCUGGACAAAGACUGACGCUCAGGUGCGAAAGCGUGGGGAGCAAAUAGG